Molecule: transfer RNA, 72 nt
Filed under: Camelus bactrianus (Bactrian camel)
Lineage: Eukaryota; Metazoa; Chordata; Mammalia; Artiodactyla; Camelidae
Also listed under: 2 other names
Rfam family: tRNA
About the family: Transfer RNA (tRNA) molecules are approximately 80 nucleotides in length. Their secondary structure includes four short double-helical elements and three loops (D, anti-codon, and T loops).
Source: Rfam by way of RNAcentral
AAGGGUAUAGCUCGGUGGUAGAGCAUGUGCUUAGCAUGCACAAGGUCCUGGGUUCAAUCCCCAGUGCCUCCA